This 506-nucleotide ribosomal RNA is filed under the name uncultured microorganism. RNAcentral's name for it is "bacterial SSU rRNA". It matches the Rfam family "Bacterial small subunit ribosomal RNA", at positions 9 to 521 of the family's 1533-position model. The record is from RNAcentral.
GAGUUUGAUCGUGGCUCAGGACGAACGCUGGCGGCGUGCUUAACACAUGCAAGUCGAACGAGAAUCUACUGAAAGAGUUUUCGGACAAUGGAAGUAGAGGAAAGUGGCGGACGGGUGAGUAACGCGUGAGGAACCUGCCUUGAAGAGGGGACAACAGUUGGAAACGACUGCUAAUACCGCAUGAUGCAUAAGGGUCUCAUGAUUCUUAUGCCAAAGAUUUAUCGCUUCAAGAUGGCCUCGCGUCUGAUUAGCUAGUUGGCGGGUAACGGCCCACCAAGGCGACGAUCAGUAGCCGGACUGAGAGGUUGAACGGCCACAUUGGGACUGAGAUACGGCCCAGACUCCUACGGGAGGCAGCAGUGGGGAAUAUUGGGCAAUGGGCGCAAGCCUGACCCAGCAACGCCGCGUGAAGGAGAAGGCUUUCGGUAUGUAAACUUCUAUCAGCAGGGAAGAAAUGACGGUACCUGACUAAGAAGCCCGGCUAACUACGUGCCAGCCGCCGCCGU